RNAcentral lists this ribosomal RNA (482 nucleotides) under uncultured bacterium. RNAcentral's name for it is "bacterial SSU rRNA". It matches the Rfam family "Bacterial small subunit ribosomal RNA", at positions 28 to 507 of the family's 1533-position model. The record is from RNAcentral.
GAUGAACGCUAGCGGCAGGCUUAAUACAUGCAAGUCGAACGGGAAUUGGGUAGCAAUACCUGAUGAUAGUGGCGCACGGGUGCGUAACGCGUAUGCAACCUACCUUUAACAGGGGGAUAGCCCGGAGAAAUUCGGAUUAAUACCCCAUAGUAUUAUGGAGAGGCAUCUUUUCAUGAUUAAAGUUCCGGCGGUUAAAGAUGGGCAUGCGUCCCAUCAGCUGGUUGGUAGGGUAACGGCCUACCAAGGCUAUGACGGGUAGGGGACCUGAGAGGGUUAUCCCCCACACUGGUACUGAGACACGGACCAGACUCCUACGGGAGGCAGCAGUAAGGAAUAUUGGUCAAUGGGCGGAAGCCUGAACCAGCCAUGCCGCGUGCAGGAAGACGGCCUUAUGGGUUGUAAACUGCUUUUGUCAGGGAAUAAACCCUCGUUUGCGAACGAGGCUGAAGGUACCUGAAGAAUAAGCAUCGGCUAACUCCGUG